This 1268-nucleotide ribosomal RNA is filed under the name uncultured Streptococcus sp. Its description in RNAcentral is "bacterial SSU rRNA". The stretch from base 1 to 828 matches the Rfam family "Bacterial small subunit ribosomal RNA", at positions 28 to 873 of the family's 1533-position model. The record is from RNAcentral. Lineage: Bacteria; Bacillati; Bacillota; Bacilli; Lactobacillales; Streptococcaceae.
GACGAACGCUGGCGGCGUGCCUAAUACAUGCAAGUCGAGCGAAGUUUUUCUGGUGCUUGCACUAGAAAAACUUAGCGGCGAACGGGUGAGUAACACGUAAAGAACCUGCCUCAUAGACUGGGACAACUAUUGGAAACGAUAGCUAAUACCGGAUAACAGUAUUUCUCGCAUGAGAGAUAUUUAAAAGUUGGUUAUGCUAACACUAUGAGAUGGCUUUGCGGUGCAUUAGCUAGUUGGUGGGGUAAAGGCCCACCAAGGCGACGAUGCAUAGCCGACCUGAGAGGGUGAUCGGCCACACUGGGACUGAGACACGGCCCAGACUCCUACGGGAGGCAGCAGUAGGGAAUCUUCCGCAAUGGGCGAAAGCCUGACGGAGCAACGCCGCGUGAGUGAAGAAGGAUUUCGGUUCGUAAAGCUCUGUUGUUAGGGAAGAAUGGAUAUGUAGUAACUAUACAUAUAAGAGACGGUACCUAACCAGAAAGCCACGGCUAACUACGUGCCAGCAGCCGCGGUAAUACGUAGGUGGCAAGCGUUGUCCGGAAUUAUUGGGCGUAAAGCGCGCGCAGGUGGUUUAAUAAGUCUGAUGUGAAAGCCCACGGCUCAACCGUGGAGGGUCAUUGGAAACUGUUAAACUUGAGUGCAGGAGAGAAAAAUGGAAUUCCUAGUGUAGCGUGAAAUGCUUAGAGAUUAGGAGGAACACCAUUGGCGAUGUGCGGCUUUUUGGGCCUGUACUGACACGGAGGCGCGAAGCGUGGGGAUGCAAUCGGGAUAGAUACGCUAGUAGUCCAAGGUGGACUUCCACAUUGUGUAUCAGCUCACCAUGCCGCCGACCUCUGCGAAGAAACUACAAAUACAAUAAUUUGUUCCUGUAGUGUGGUUUGGUACUUCUCCUUGCCUGCUCCCUUCCCCCUGUGCUGUGACUGCCUGCUUGUGCUGUGUGUGCUUACUGUGGCUACUAAUGCUGUUACUCAUACCCUUAUCAUCAGCAACUACCCCCUACCGUGACCUUGUUACUGGCUUGUGUGCUGUGCCUGUAAUAUUUUCUUUUUCUGCUUGCCGUGUGUGUGCCUGCUACUGUAGGCUGUGCUCUGUUGUCUCCAUCUGCUGCUGUGCUGCUAUCUGAGUACGUGACCGUGCUGUUGCCUAUGCUGCCUCUAGAUUGCCCUGACUAUCCUCUACUACUCAGUCCUGAUUUUCUAGUUAGCCCAUGCUCCAUUUAUACUCAUUUACUUUACCUGUUCCCCCAUAUGUGUCUUGCAUAUAUUUUU